This 354-nucleotide long non-coding RNA is filed under the name Brachypodium distachyon (stiff brome). RNAcentral describes it as "long non-coding RNA (BDIS_LNC005442)". Lineage: Eukaryota; Viridiplantae; Streptophyta; Magnoliopsida; Poales; Poaceae. The record is from RNAcentral.
UUACAAAUAUAGUUUUCCUAGUGUAUGAUAAAACAAGUAAUUCAAUGAACCGUCCUGGGUGGGCUGCUUUGAGUAUUCGGAUGUCGUGACGUUAGGUCCAUUUCUAUGGGUCCCUCUGAGUCGAGUCUCCGUGGAUUCGGAGAUGGAUCGUCCAUGGACGUCUCUCCCGUGGAUUCGGGGAGCGCCUUCGUCACAAUGUGGGAUGCCACCCAGGAUAACCAGAGGCUGGACUAGUUUCCUGUUUAGUAGCUUCCAGUACAACCACAUGGUAAUAUGGGCUCUGCCUGGAUGGAGUAAGAAAUGUUUACCCAGAUCCGAGGGAUUGUACUGAGGUAGUUGUGUAGGUGGGAGCGC